This 464-nucleotide ribosomal RNA is filed under the name uncultured bacterium. RNAcentral's name for it is "partial 16S ribosomal RNA". It matches the Rfam family "Bacterial small subunit ribosomal RNA", at positions 339 to 795 of the family's 1533-position model. The record is from RNAcentral.
CUACGGGACGCUCCAGUGGGGAAUAUUGCACAAUGGGCGCAAGCCUGAUGCAGCCAUGCCGCGUGUAUGAAGAAGGCCUUCGGGUUGUAAAGUACUUUCAGCGGGGAGGAAGGGAGUAAAGUUAAUACCUUUGCUCAUUGACGUUACCCGCAGAAGAAGCACCGGCUAACUCCGUGCCAGCAGCCGCGGUAAUACGGGGGGUGCAAGCGUUAAUCGGAAUUACUGGGCGUAAAGCGCACGCAGGCGGUUUGUUAAGUCAGAUGUGAAAUCCCCGGGCUCAACCUGGGAACUGCAUCUGAUACUGGCAAGCUUGAGUCUCGUAGAGGGGGGUAGAAUUCCAGGUGUAGCGGUGAAAUGCGUAGAGAUCUGGAGGAAUACCGGUGGCGAAGGCGGCCCCCUGGACGAAGACUGACGCUCAGGUGCGAAAGCGUGGGGAGCAAACAGGAUUAGAUACCCUGGUAGUC